UGGGGAAUAUUGCGCAAUGGGGGAAACCCUGACGCAGCGACGCCGCGUGUGGGAUGAAGGUCUUCGGAUUGUAAACCACUGUCGCGAGGGACGAAGCUCUGACGGUACCUCGAAAGGAAGCACCGGCUAACUCUGUGCCAGCAGCCGUGGUAAUACAGAGGGUGCGAGCGUUGUCCGGAAUCACUGGGCGUAAAGGGCGCGUAGGCGGCCCGGUAAGUAGGGGGUGAAAUCUCAUGGCUCAACUGUGAGGCUGCCUUCUAGACUGCCAGGCUUGAGCACAGUAGAGGCGAGUGGAAUUCCCGGUGUAGCGGUGGAAUGCGUAGAGAUCGGGAAGAACAUCGGUGGCGAAGGCGGCUCGCUGGGCUGUUGCUGACGCUGAGGCGCGAAAGCGUGGGGAGCAAACAGGAUUAGAUACCCACGUAGUCCCUGAGCGGGCUGGCAAGGCGCAU
RNAcentral lists this ribosomal RNA (449 nucleotides) under uncultured bacterium. RNAcentral's name for it is "bacterial SSU rRNA". It matches the Rfam family "Bacterial small subunit ribosomal RNA", at positions 355 to 825 of the family's 1533-position model. The record is from RNAcentral.